CUUUCAUAACAUUUAAAUAUUAUCAAUAUAUAUUACACAAUCCAAAUACUUUAAUACACAAAGACAUCUUACUACAAGACAUCUUAUUCUUAUAAUUGAAUAAUCUUAACUGCUAUUAUCCAAUCAAAUUUCUUCUACUCGUAGCUGAAUUUAAGGGCUAAAUUUACCAAAUCUAAAAGCUAAAUUUAGAAGGAUUAUUAUUUUUCACUCCAUGAACAUAAGUACUGCAAUCAUGCAUUAUCACGUACAUCUUCUUCAUUCACGGACAGCUUCUUCAUUCGAUAAAUUUGAUGGGUUAGGGAUAUAAGUUGAAGAAGAAACACUUUAAACAUAUUAAUCAUAUCUGCAAACAAAUAAAAGAAAAAGGAAAAGAAAUUGGUUGCCAAAUUCCAACAGUUGCAAAAUAAAUUAACAAGCAAUACAGAGACAAAAGUUAAUAGAAAUAAACAUAUUUUGCUCGAAAACAAAAAAAAAAUUCAUAAGCUAUGAACAGAUCAACUCAAUUAUCUUAAAGGAAAAUUAGAGAAUAAGAAUGUUGUAGCUCAUUUGAUUAGAAAUAAGGUAGAAUAUAUUUAACUAUAGAUAUAAAUUAAAAAAAAAGGUGAUGCUGAAUUCAUUCUCUUAUAUAUAUAUGAAUAAGAGAGAGUGAGAGAGCAAAUUAUAGCAUUCAAAUUUUCAGUAUAACAUCUAGUUUCAAGAAAGUGUAUUUAUUUCUCAUUAUAUAAAAAAUAAUGAUUUUCCAGCUAAAAAAAAUUCAUAAUAAAAUUUAAUAUCUAAUACAACAUAGUAUGUUUUUUUUUUUUCAAAAAAAUGCUUGCAAUUAUGUCUUUUAGCCACCAAGCCUAAGUGUGAGAGUAAAGCAUUUAACUCUUGAUAAUUACACACUUUCUGCAUAAUGCAAUUAGUGUCAACUCAUUCUAAAUUACUCUACUUGAAUAAUAAAACAUUUCAGCCAUUGUAUUGAUGGAGCUACUAAUCCAGAAUAUUCACAAUAAAUAUAGGGUUCAAGGCAAUUAAGAGAUGUACCUCUUAGGGCUAUGCAUAUUCUCUAUCUUUCUAAGGCAAUCUUUAAUUCAUAUAGUUCCACCCCCUUUGAAUUCACAAACCAAGACUUUACAAACAAAGGCCUUAUAUCAUUAAUCUUAAUACAUUUUUACCAAAAAAUCACUAUAUUCAUAAAUAAAAAUCACAAGUUAACGCUUUAACCUCGUGUUGGGCUGUCUUAGUUUUCACAUGGCAGAGGAAUCUACGAUAAUGUGUAUGUUUUCCUGAGAAGAAAAAGGAACAAAAAAUAGGGAAAGGAAGUCAAGACUAAAAAAUAAUUAUUCAAUAAGCUGAAAAAUUAUCAUAUAUCAUGCAUGUUUUACACAAUCCCCUUAUAAAGUUGAAAAAAAAACUACUUUAUUUUACACAAUCAAACGAUUUUAACAGGAAACAUAACUUAGUAGGACAAGAAUGCAGCUAAAUUAUGAAAGCCAUUUUGCUUGCAGAUAUUAAUUAGACAUUUCAGUUUUUCUUAUAUUUUUCACAAUUUGAGCAGCUUUACUUUAAUUUUAUCAGGAAUCGAGUAUGGCGAUGUCACAAAAAGAAAGCAUCAGGGGGUUUGCAACAGACAGCAAAAUCAUUCAAGAAACUAGUGAGUUAGAGAAAAGCACUUGUGCAACAACUGAAGCAGAUCUCAUUGAGCGCCCAUACACACCAGUUCAAACUGGCGAUGAGUUUGCGCCAAAAUUUUUUGAGCAGUAAGGAACCAUAGAAACUCCACAGAAAGCAAAGAUUAACCUCGAAGGAGAGCAACAACCACAAGAAUCAGGGGAAACAAAAACUGAGGAAUCAGCAUUGAUGGACUCAGCUCAGCUUCAUUGACUGACCCCCUUCAGAGCUCCAGAAUUGAAACUACGAAAGUGGCUGAACAAGUCGGCGAAGGGAGAGAACCAAAAGGCAGGACUGAAGAAAAUCAAACCAAAGAACCAGAAGCCAUUCAUGUAGAAGAUGCAAAAAUGGAUGAAGAACAAGACGAAGAUGAACAUAAAAGGAUAGACUCAAGCUCUGAUGCUCCGGUCAUGAUUGAAGCGAAAAGAGGUGCUGUGGAUGUUAGGGUUGCACAACUUGGUCACUGGCAAAGGAUGAGGAACCUAUUUGAAAUAAACUGAAACUAAUGUAUCGUUAUUUACUAAAAAUAAAAAUAUAGGGAACUCAAUGUUAUUCACUCGAUAAUCAAAUAUUUCGAUUUCUCAUAGUUACAUGUCACCUCUCGCAAGUCACAGGACUCGUCGUGACUCGAGUCGCUUCCUUCCCUCUUGCUUGCAGUCUCCGCCCAUUUUUGUAGCACAGAAAAAAAAAAAACUAAUUUUCAUUUUUCAAUUCAAAGUCUGUGACUCUCAUCGAUCCAUAUAACACAACAAAACAACAAAAUUUAACACGGAAAAAAAAAGGAAUGUGUAAGCAAGUAUCCAAGAGAAUAGAAGAAAACCGAGCUUACUGAGUUACUUGGAGCUCCGAGACCUUUCGAAGAUCGAAUUAGCGGAAGAAAACAAAACUUCAGCUAACAAGAAAUCCCGAGAAGUCGAAGCGAGAGGGGCGGUGUGCACUCGAGUAGGGUGAGCAAAAUGUGGAGAUCUAAAGCGGGUCUUGUGAGCUUGUGGCAUAGCGGCAUGGUGGAUGUUUUGCAUAAUGUAGAUCGUUAGGGUUUCGUAUGGUAUGGGUCUUAGAAUUUGAGCAGUGGUGUUAGGAUUUCUUAUGGCAUGGACCCUUGAAUUUUAGGGCUCGAAGUUUUAGAGGUAUGAAGAAGAAGAAGGAUAUCGCCAGAGAGAUGAGGCGGCUGACCAUGGAUUUAGGAGUUAGG
Molecule: long non-coding RNA, 2845 nt
Filed under: Citrus maxima (pomelo)
Lineage: Eukaryota; Viridiplantae; Streptophyta; Magnoliopsida; Sapindales; Rutaceae
Description: long non-coding RNA (CMAX_LNC004221)
Source: RNAcentral